UGCAUCCUGUGUCCCUCACGCCUUUGC
This 27-nucleotide non-coding RNA is filed under the name Mus musculus (house mouse). Lineage: Eukaryota; Metazoa; Chordata; Mammalia; Rodentia; Muridae. The record is from RNAcentral.